AUAGUUGUCCAUCGCUUUUGCCAAGGCAUCUCUCCAUUUUCCCAACUCUUUAUUGAGAAUUUUCCACCUACUAGAUAAUGUCAUCUCAGUAUGAGUAGACCCCGGAAUUUUUUCACGAAAUUCGGCAUGAAUUUUUUUUCCACAUAUGAAAAAAUUUCAUCUCAUUGCCGGAAACGGGACAAUGACAAAUUUGGAGCCAAGCCUCACACAAGGAAACAUCUUCC
RNAcentral lists this long non-coding RNA (224 nucleotides) under Prunus persica (peach). RNAcentral's name for it is "long non-coding RNA (PPER_LNC004541)". The record is from RNAcentral. Lineage: Eukaryota; Viridiplantae; Streptophyta; Magnoliopsida; Rosales; Rosaceae.